AAACUUCUUGAAGCCCUAUGGCCUCUUCAGUUCUCUCUCCCUAGAUCCUUGAGAUGACUUCAGUAUCCCUGCAACAGUGAAAGAUUCUUGGGUUGUAAAGGCUGAAGAGAAACGCUACUGAUUUCACAAUCAGAGUCAGCCAAAUUACAAGGCCCAAAGCAAUCCCUUAUGUUCCUUGCCUCAUAGCUCCACUACUCCAGUCUCUUCCUCCAGCUUCACAUGGAUUUCUUUCCCAUCCAGAUGAAGGAAGGAGGAUGUUUCCAGAGGGCUUGAGGGAAUAGCAAGGGAGACCAUAAAGCCAAGGCAUCCUGAGAGCAAUUCCUAAGGGCUCUCACACAGGAUGCUUUAGGGAAAGUACCUUGACGUCCACAUGCAAAUUCCUGCAUCCAUGCUUUCCGGAUACCUGGUACCCGCGCUGUCUGCACUAUCUGCACGCAAAAGCAAGGAG
This 448-nucleotide long non-coding RNA is filed under the name Heterocephalus glaber (naked mole-rat). Its description in RNAcentral is "lncRNA (ENSHGLG00000048904.1)". The record is from RNAcentral. Lineage: Eukaryota; Metazoa; Chordata; Mammalia; Rodentia; Bathyergidae.